CCUACGGGAGGCAGCAGUAGGGAAUAUUGCUCAAUGGGGGAAACCCUGACGCAGCAACGCCGCGUGGGGGAUGAAGGUUUUCGGAUUGUAAACUCCUUUUGUUAGGGAAGAUAAUGACGGUAUCUAACGAAUCACCACCGGCUAACUCCGUGCCAGCAGCCGCCGUAAAACGGAGGGUGCAAGCGUUACUCGGAAUGAAUGGGCGUAAAGAGCGCGUAGGCGGGAUAGCAAGUCAGAUGUGAAAGCCUAUGGCUUAACCAUAGAACUGCAUUUGAAACUGUUAUUCUGGAGUAUGGGAGAGGUAGGUGGAAUUCUUGGUGUAGGGGUAAAAUCCGUAGAGAUCAAGAGGAAUACUCAUUGCGAAGGCGACCUGCUAGUACAUAACUGACGCUGAUGCGCGAAAGCGUGGGGAGCAAACAGGAUUAGAUACCCCAGUAGUC
Molecule: ribosomal RNA, 440 nt
Filed under: uncultured bacterium
Lineage: Bacteria
Description: partial 16S ribosomal RNA
Rfam family: Bacterial small subunit ribosomal RNA
Source: RNAcentral